AUUUUUUUUUUUUUUUUUUUCAAUUGAACAAGACCCAACUGGCUAAGAACAAGGAUUACAAGAGACUAACUACCGUUGCCACCACUUCACUGUGUGAAGAGGCUCCUCUGGUUCUAUUCUUGAUCCCAUAGGAGAAACCAUGGCCAGAGUCCUCAACAUUCCUCAGUCUUCUUUUCUCCGUUCAUUCCCAGUAACCGAGAAGCAUUAGAACACCAAUUUUCACUAUUACAGCCACCUCAGAGAUACCUUUCUCUUUUACUUCAACAAGCACCACCACCACCAAAGAAGACCAGAAGCUGGGGGCUUCCCUCACCUUGUUUUUCAGGUUGGGCACUGGUGUUUUCGUUUCUGGUACUUCAUAUUUAUGAAUUACAGUGUUAUCUCAUUCCUACACGCAAAUUGCUGCAAUGGUAUUCACAAGUGAGAGGUCAUCAAUUUUACAACAAUUAUUUCCAGGCACCAUAUGGGGUCCAGAUGUUUGAAAGUGCUGAGAUUGUGGAAUAUCUAAAGCAACUUAUGCUCAACAAGCAAGGCCAGCAUUAGCAACAAGCUUUCAAGGAUAUAUAAGCGCGCACACACACAUACAAUGGGGAUGUCUCCCUGAAAUUUAAAAGUUUAAAUGGGAUUAUGUUGAAUUUAAACUUGUUAAAUAUAUAUUUUGCUCCUUUCCCCUAUUUCUCCCUUUUGGAUUGUCCAAUCUUUUUGAUUUUAUAAUCAAUGGAAUAUCUCAUUUUGGUGCUUCC
This is a long non-coding RNA of Manihot esculenta (cassava), 743 nucleotides long. RefSeq lists it as uncharacterized. The record is from RefSeq and is a predicted model, not a curated record. The transcript is spliced from 2 exons. Lineage: Eukaryota; Viridiplantae; Streptophyta; Magnoliopsida; Malpighiales; Euphorbiaceae.